This 497-nucleotide ribosomal RNA is filed under the name uncultured bacterium. Its description in RNAcentral is "partial 16S ribosomal RNA". It matches the Rfam family "Bacterial small subunit ribosomal RNA", at positions 28 to 507 of the family's 1533-position model. The record is from RNAcentral.
GAUGAACGCUGGCGGCGUGCCUAAUACAUGCAAGUCGAGCGAACAGACGAGGAGCUUGCUCCUUUGACGUUAGCGGCGGACGGGUGAGUAACACGUAGGUAACCUAUCUAUAAGACUGGGAUAACUUCGGGAAACCGGAGCUAAUACCGGAUAAUACUUCGAACCGCAUGGUUCGAUAGUGAAAGAUGGCUUUGCUAUCACUUAUAGAUGGACCUGCGCCGUAUUAGCUAGUUGGUAAGGUAACGGCUUACCAAGGCAACGAUACGUAGCCGACCUGAGAGGGUGAUCGUCCACACUGGAACGGGAACAGGGACCAGGGUCCUACGGGAGGCAGCAGUAGGGAAUCGGCCGCAAUAGGCGAAAGCCUGACAGAACAGCGCGGCGUGUGAUGUAGAAGUCUUCGGAUCGUAAAACUCUGUUAUUGGUGGUAAACAGACGUGUAAGUAACUGAACACGGCGUGACGGUACCUAAUCAAAAAGCAACGGCUAACUACGUG